GCGAAGGGCUCAUUAUAUCAGUUAUAGUUUAUUUGAUAGUCCCUUACUACAUGGAUACCCGUAGUAAUUCUAGGGCUAAUACAUGCAUCGACUCCCAACUGCUUCGGCGGGCGGGACGUAUUUAUUAGAUUGAAACCAAUGCGGGGGAGACCCCGGUAUUGUGGUGAGUCAUGAUAACUUCACGAAUCGCAUGGCCUUGCGCCGGCGAUGUUUCAUUCAAAUUUCUGCCCUAUCAACUUUUGAUGGUAGGAUAGAGGCCUACCAUGGUGGUAACGGGUGACGGAGAAUUAGGGUUCGAUUCCGGAGAGGGAGCCUGAGAAACGGCUACCACAUCCAAGGAAGGCAGCAGGCGCGCAAAUUACCCAAUCCUGAUACAGGGAGGUAGUGACAAUAAAUAACAAUACCGGGCCUUUGGUCUGGUAAUUGGAAUGAGUACAACCUAAACACCUUAACGAGGAUCAAUU
RNAcentral lists this ribosomal RNA (464 nucleotides) under uncultured eukaryote. Its description in RNAcentral is "bacterial SSU rRNA". It matches the Rfam family "Eukaryotic small subunit ribosomal RNA", at positions 89 to 549 of the family's 1831-position model. The record is from RNAcentral.